This 506-nucleotide ribosomal RNA is filed under the name uncultured bacterium. RNAcentral's name for it is "partial 16S ribosomal RNA". It matches the Rfam family "Bacterial small subunit ribosomal RNA", at positions 28 to 523 of the family's 1533-position model. The record is from RNAcentral.
GAUGAACGCUAGCUACAGGCUUAACACAUGCAAGUCGAGGGGUAACGAGAGGAAAGCUUGCUUUCCUUGUCGACGACCGGCGCACGGGUGAGUAACGCGUACCCAACCUGCCCCCAACUAGGGAAUAACCUUGCGAAAGUAAGACUAAUACCCUAUAAUUUCCUCAGAUGUCAUCUGACGAGGAAUAAAGAUUUAUCGGUUGUGGAUGGGGAUGCGUCUGAUUAGCUUGUUGGCGGGGUAACGGCCCACCAAGGCAACGAUCAGUAGGGGUUCUGAGAGGAAGGUCCCCCACAUUGGAACUGAGACACGGUCCAAACUCCUACGGGAGGCAGCAGUGAGGAAUAUUGGUCAAUGGGCGGAAGCCUGAACCAGCCAAGUAGCGUGCAGGAUGACGGCCCUAUGGGUUGCAAACUGCUUUUAUACAGGAAUAAAGUUAGCCACGUGUGGUUAUUUGUAGGUACUGUAUGAAUAAGGACCGGCUAAUUCCGUGCCAGCCGCCGCAGUAA